Molecule: long non-coding RNA, 3210 nt
Organism: Columba livia (rock pigeon)
Lineage: Eukaryota; Metazoa; Chordata; Aves; Columbiformes; Columbidae
Exons: 2
Source: RefSeq, a predicted model, not a curated record
CCUUCAUUUAGCAACUAGAAGUCUGAGCAUCCAGAUCACAAAUCACUUCCCACUGGUGCACACAACCUAUUACAGGAAAGCAGGACAUGCCUGUGUGUGGAUAGAUGUGGGGACAGGGCAGAGGGGGAAGGGUCAGUAUCAGACAGUCAAGCACUGCAGAGCUAGCCUUACCAGCUGAAUACUAAUCAAUGAAAUAAGCUCCCAUCAUUUCAACAUUUGCAAACUCUAAGACACCCUUAACAUAAAAGAAGGAAAGCUCUGGGAAACAACACGGGAAAUUUCCUGGCCUCAGUAAUCAUUUUCUCUGUAGCAUCAGUGCCAGACUCUCAGAUCAAACAAGACAGACACUUAGGCUUGGCAGAAAAGACCGAGAUAGUCAGGACUUAGUGUUGCCUGUAUUCUGCAGAAGUCUGUGGUCCUCCCUUCCCCCACUCUACCUCCCCGAUCGUCUGUGAGACUUCCCAAAGAGUCAGAGAGAUGCUAUUGUUCUCUUAUGUUUCAGAAGGUGCACACACGCUUUUAUCAUUAGGGCUCUUACUUCCCACGGUUUCCCUACCAUACGUGCUGCCGGUGCCCCGGCGGCCGUUCCCAGCCGCGCUACCCGCGGACGCUCCCCGGGCCGCCCCGCCGGUCCCUUCCCCGCCGCCCCCGAGCAGGCGGAAACCGAAACUUCCCCUGCGCCGCGGCAGCGCUGCCCUGCUGACUGCGCAAAGCCACAGCCCCGCUGCCCAGCAGAAUCAGUUUAGGGACACGGGUGAGAAAAAGAACCGCACGCAGCCCUUGCCUGCAACUACUCCGAUCUGCUUGUACCUACAUGGGAGGGGGAAGGGGAGAGGAAAGCAAGGAAAGGCACAGGUGCAGCCGGCACUUACCUGCUCCCCCCCUCCCUCGGCUGCCCAGCGCAAUUGUCCCAGAAGCCGCUAUCAGUUGAGUUCCUGAGGCGUGAAGGCAAAGUCGCAAAACUAAUCCGAACUUGCGGGUUCCCUCCUUUACAGUUUUGCCCUUUCAGUCUCCCCAGCCUGCCCUACUUCUGCUUGCAAAAUCCGCACCUCCUUCCCCGGCCCGUUCGCUUAGCCGGCGGUGAGGAAGCCGGGGGCUACAGGGCAGUGAGCUGAUGGGCCAGGUUCCCUCUCCAGGUCCCGGCGAAGCUCUCCCGGGGCAAGACAUGGACCUACUCAAGGGACCUAAAACCCCGUAAUCCUACUGCCCUCCGCCUCCCCAGCGCUGUGCUGUCCCUCCUACUCCCCCCCCCGCCUAUAAACCGGGGAGGUAGGGGGAGGGAAAUGAAGGGGGGAGGAGAGGAUUAAAAAAAAAUACAUGGAAUAAAUAAAACAGGUGUUUUCAUACAGUAAACGGUGGAGAGAGGCGACUGUGCCCAUGCUGGGGCUCUGCGCAGCGGCAGGAGGUGAAGGCACAGUGUCAUGCUGGGGUUGGUGUCUGGCAGCAUCCACGCACAGCUCCGCAACCCCGGAGCUGCCCGGGGAAGCCACUCUGAGAAAUGAAUAUCUGCUUUGUUUGGACUUGGUCCGGCUAGGAAAGCGGCAGCACAAAGUUUCUGCCUCAUUUCAGCACUGCUGAAGCCUUUUGGAUCUGCAGAAUGAAACAAAUCUACAACUGAGACGUGAUCAGCCAGGAGUCAGGAUGCCUCCUGAAAAAAAAAGAAGAAAAAAAGCAGCAGAGGUUCCAAGUGUUGGCAGAGCUGCUGAACUGACAUUUUCCACGGACAAAAAUAUUUUUAACACCUACUGUUUUUAGAACAAUGGAUUGUACCAAGGGCAACUGUAAGAAAUGAGCCUUGGCCAACAAAAUGUCUUUUGAUUUAUAGUUUUACCAGAAAGGCAUUCUCAACAUACCAUGAACAAACUAAUAAUGUGCAUUUAUAAUUAACUUUAAUUCCUAUUACACAUGAUACAUUAUACUAUGAAGUGUGGUGUCAACAAUAAUAUAGUAAUCUGAGGGCAGUUACCUCUUUAAAAAACCUGAACAAAACCAAUUAGUUUAGAUCACAAAAUAUUUUUUUACAUCAUUUUAAUUUCUGAAUGUGUUUGUAGCAUUUGAAUACACGAGUGCAAACAUGCAUGAGUAUUUUAGUAAAUGCAAUAUGUAACUCCUAUGUGUUCCUCAUUUUUUAGCUUAAUUUUCAGACGUGAUUUUCAAUGUCACCAUUCUAAUCAGAAAGGCAAUUCAGCAUCAUGGCAUUUGUGAACUGAAGAAGUGGUUUAAAGAGGGCAACUAGAAGCAAUCUUCAUUCUCCAAGUUAUGGAGCAUCUGAGUGCAUGGUUACAACGUAAUAAGAUGUAUUCAGGCAAGAAAAUCCUGAAACAUGAUUGCACACAGUUGCUUAAGAUUGUAAUUAAGGAUUCUUCUUUCCUUUGUCCUCUUUCCCCCAAUCCCUAAUUCAUCUUUCACAACUUAAUCAAAAUAAGACUCUUUGCACUGAUCCUUAGAGGACAAGGUUCAAGGACAGAUUAUCUUUUUUCAUCACUAAAUAUCACAAACACCUCUGCUUUAUCUUCUUUCAAAUUUGUUCUGAGACAUAACCAGUACUUCUUGGAAACCUUAUCUUUUCCUACUUAAUUCAGUUUCUGUGACUUCAGUGGUGAAAAUAGAACAGUUUAAAAAGCAAAAACAAACAAACAAACAAACAAAAGUUUGUUUGGGAAUUAAAAAAAAAAAAAAAAGAAAACCACAAAAACCAAUAACAACAACCAACAAAAACAACAACAAAAACACAAAAACACUAAAACACAAAAAAAACCCAAACCAACCAACUAGCCAAAACUACAAGGGGCAGCACCGUCAAACUCACUCUGCUCUACAGAUUUCAGAUUCAAAAUAGGGACUGAACAGUUUUACAGUCACUUAAAAUCUAUAAAGGAAGGAUUCUUUCUCCUUAAUUUUGGUUCUGAUCCAGAUAUUUCUAAUGUAGAAUUGGAAUAGCCAAUUAUCACCCAAUUAAAAAGCUUUCAUGUGUAGACCUUCACAGAGUAUUUCAUGAUGUUCUUACUAACUUAACAGACCUCUCUCAAGGAUGUGCUUUAUGUUCCAAAAUCUAUAUUCUCUCUAGCAAAACCUUUCAUUAAACUGUAUGCCUGUGAAAACAUUUGAACUUAUUUUUACCAUGUUGAAAAUAGGGUAGAUAUUUCUGUCCGAUUGUUUUUCUAAAUGCUUAUGCUGUCAUAUCAAAAUAAAAUGUAUUAAACCCUUUGA